This 610-nucleotide ribosomal RNA is filed under the name uncultured bacterium. RNAcentral's name for it is "bacterial SSU rRNA". It matches the Rfam family "Bacterial small subunit ribosomal RNA", at positions 126 to 729 of the family's 1533-position model. The record is from RNAcentral.
GUACCUAGUAAUGGGGGAUAACACAGCGAAAGCUGUGCUAAUACCGCAUACGCCCUGAGGGGGAAAGCGGGGGACUCGUAAGGGCCUCGCGUUAUUGGAGCGGCCGAUAUCGGAUUAGCUAGUUGGUGAGGUAAAGGCUCACCAAGGCGACGAUCCGUAGCUGGUCUGAGAGGACGACCAGCCACACUGGAACUGAGACACGGUCCAGACUCCUACGGGAGGCAGCAGUGGGGAAUUUUGGACAAUGGGGGCAACCCUGAUCCAGCCAUUCCGCGUGAGUGAAGAAGGCCUUCGGGUUGUAAAGCUCCUUCAGCAGGAACGAAACGGUAGGCUUUAAUAAAGUUUGCUAAUGACGGUACCUGAAGAAGAAGCACCGGCUAACUACGUGCCAGCAGCCGCGGUAAUACGUAGGGUGCGAGCGUUAAUCGGAAUUACUGGGCGUAAAGCGUGCGCAGGCGGCUUUGUAAGACAGAUGUGAAAUCCCCGGGCUUAACCUGGGAACUGCGUUUGUGACUGCCACACUAGAGUGUGGCAGACGGGGGUAGAAUUCCACGUGUAGCAGUGAAAUGCGUAGAGAUGCCGACGAAUAUCGAUGGCCAACGCAGCCCCC